CUAAAAUUAUCAAAAGAUAUCCCUUU
Molecule: transfer RNA, 26 nt
Filed under: Geoscapheus dilatatus
Lineage: Eukaryota; Metazoa; Arthropoda; Insecta; Blattodea; Blaberidae
Description: partial tRNA-Asp
Source: RNAcentral